UCUCCGUUGGUGAACCAGCGGAGGGAUCAUUACCGAGUUUACAACUCCCAAACCCAAUGAGAACCAUACCAAACUGUUGCCUCGGCGGGGUCACGCCCCGGGUGCGUCGCAGCCCCGGAACCAGGCGCCCGCCGGAGGGACCAACCAAACUCUUUCUGUAGUCCCCUCGCGGACGUUAUUUUUACAGCUCUGAGCAAAAAUUCAAAAUGAAUCAAAACUUUCAACAACGGAUCUCUCGGUUCUG
Molecule: unclassified non-coding RNA, 244 nt
Filed under: plant metagenome
Description: partial contains small subunit ribosomal RNA, internal transcribed spacer 1, and 5.8S ribosomal RNA
Source: RNAcentral